This 468-nucleotide ribosomal RNA is filed under the name uncultured bacterium. Its description in RNAcentral is "partial 16S ribosomal RNA". It matches the Rfam family "Bacterial small subunit ribosomal RNA", at positions 28 to 507 of the family's 1533-position model. The record is from RNAcentral.
GACGAACGCUGGCGGCGUGCUUAACACAUGCAAGUCGAACGGAAAGGCCCUGCUUUUGUGGGGUGCUCGAGUGGCGAACGGGUGAGUAACACGUGAGUAACCUGCCCUUGACUUUGGGAUAACUUCAGGAAACUGGGGCUAAUACCGGGUAGGAGCUCCUGCUGCAUGGUGGGGGUUGGAAAGUUUCGGCGGUUGGGGAUGGACUCGCGGCUUAUCAGCUUGUUGGUGGGGUAGUGGCUUACCAAGGCUUUGACGGGUAGCCGGCCUGAGAGGGUGACCGGCCACAUGGGGACUGAGAGACGGCGCAGAAGCCUACGGGAGGCAGCAGUGGGGAAUAUUGCACAAUGGGCGGACGCCUGAUGCAGCAACGCCGCGUGCGGGAUGACGGCCUUCGGGUUGUAAACAGAUUUCGCCUGUGACGAAGCGUGAGUGACGGUAAUGGGUAAAGAAGCACCGGCUAACUACGUG